Molecule: unclassified non-coding RNA, 390 nt
Filed under: fungal sp.
Lineage: Eukaryota; Fungi
Description: partial internal transcribed spacer region
Rfam family: Eukaryotic small subunit ribosomal RNA (bases 1-46)
Source: RNAcentral
AAGUCGUAACAAGGUAACCGUAGGUGAACCUGCGGUUGGAUCAUUAAUAAAUGACAAUGCAAACAGGAGCUUGGGGAGAAUAUCCCCAUCUCCUGCGUCUCACGCAAGUGAGUCGGCAAACCUCUUGUGAAAUGUUCCAGUCUCUGGCGGAUGGGUAUUAGCGGGACAUUCUCUUCUCGAAGGGAGUGUUUGCGCGUACCUGCCAGCAUAUUUUUGGGAAUGGUGAUUGUCUUUUUGACAGUUGCUGUCCCGAUAUGCCGUGGGCAAGCCGCCAAAAGUGUCAAAAAACUCUGUACUUUGUAAUUGUCUGACCAUUUUUCUUGACGUAUUUGCGCGUUUGCAAUAAUACCAUGAAAAAAACAACUUUUGGCAACGGAUCUCUUGGCUCUC